CCUACGGGAGGCAGCAGUGGGGAAUAUUGCACAAUGGGCGCAAGCCUGAUGCAGCCAUGCCGCGUGUAUGAAGAAGGCCUUCGGGUUGUAAAGUACUUUCAGCGGGGAGGAAGGCGAUGCGGUUAAUAACCGCGUCGAUUGACGUUACCCGCAGAAGAAGCACCGGCUAACUCCGUGCCAGCAGCCGCGGUAAU
Molecule: ribosomal RNA, 194 nt
Filed under: uncultured bacterium
Lineage: Bacteria
Also listed under: 1 other name
Description: partial 16S ribosomal RNA
Rfam family: Bacterial small subunit ribosomal RNA
Source: RNAcentral